GCCUGUAAGACUGGGAUAACUCCGGGAAACCGGGGCUAAUACCGGAUGGUUGUCUGAACCGCAUGGUUCAGACAUAAAAGGUGGCUUCGGCUACCACUUACAGAUGGACCCGCGGCGCAUUAGCUAGUUGGUGAGGUAACGGCUCACCAAGGCGACGAUGCGUAGCCGACCUGAGAGGGUGAUCGGCCACACUGGGACUGAGACACGGCCCAGACUCCUACGGGAGGCAGCAGUAGGGAAUCUUCCGCAAUGGACGAAAGUCUGACGGAGCAACGCCGCGUGAGUGAUGAAGGUUUUCGGAUCGUAAAGCUCUGUUGUUAGGGAAGAACAAGUGCCGUUCAAAUAGGGCGGCACCUUGACGGUACCUAACCAGAAAGCCACGGCUAACUACGUGCCAGCAGCCGCGGUAAUACGUAGGUGGCAAGCGUUGUCCGGAAUUAUUGGGCGUAAAGGGCUCGCAGGCGGUUUCUUAAGUCUGAUGUGAAAGCCCCCGGCUCAACCGGGGAGGGUCAUUGGAAACUGGGGAACUUGAGUGCAGAAGAGGAGAGUGGAAUUCCACGUGUAGCGGUGAAAUGCGUAGAGAUGUGGAGGAACACCAGUGGCGAAGGCGACUCUCUGGUCUGUAACUGACGCUGAGGAGCGAAAGCGUGGGGAGCGAACAGGAUUAGAUACCCUGGUAGUCCACGCCGUAAACGAUGAGUGCUAAGUGUUAGGGGGUUUCCGCCCCUUAGUGCUGCAGCUAACGCAUUAAGCACUCCGCCUGGGGAGUACGGUCGCAAGACUGAAACUCAAAGGAAUUGACGGGGGCCCGCACAAGCGGUGGAGCAUGUGGUUUAAUUCGAAGCAACGCGAAGAACCUUACCAGGUCUUGACAUCCUCUGACAAUCCUAGAGAUAGGACGUCCCCUUCGGGGGCAGAGUGACAGGUGGUGCAUGGUUGUCGUCAGCUCGUGUCGUGAGAUGUUGGGUUAAGUCCCGCAACGAGCGCAACCCUUGAUCUUAGUUGCCAGCAUUCAGUUGGGCACUCUAAGGUGACUGCCGGUGACAAACCGGAGGAAGGUGGGGAUGACGUCAAAUCAUCAUGCCCCUUAUGACCUGGGCUACACACGUGCUACAAUGGACAGAACAAAGGGCAGCGAAACCGCGAGGUUAAGCCAAUCCCACAAAUCUGUUCUCAGUUCGGAUCGCAGUCUGCAACUCGACUGCGUGAAGCUGGAAUCGCUAGUAAUCGCGGAUCAGCAUGCCGCGGUGAAUACGUUCCCG
This 1262-nucleotide ribosomal RNA is filed under the name Calidifontibacillus erzurumensis. RNAcentral describes it as "bacterial SSU rRNA". It matches the Rfam family "Bacterial small subunit ribosomal RNA", at positions 128 to 1376 of the family's 1533-position model. The record is from RNAcentral. Lineage: Bacteria; Bacillati; Bacillota; Bacilli; Caryophanales; Bacillaceae.